Long non-coding RNA from Gadus macrocephalus (Pacific cod), 655 nucleotides. RefSeq lists it as uncharacterized. Lineage: Eukaryota; Metazoa; Chordata; Actinopteri; Gadiformes; Gadidae. The transcript is spliced from 3 exons. The record is from RefSeq and is a predicted model, not a curated record.
CACACACAUACUAGCACACACAAGCUUGCAAUGACACAGACUUAUCCACACACGCACAGACACUGCAUGUCGUUGACACACAUACAAACCUGCAAGCACACGCACAAGAACACACACAGUCACACAGUCACACAGGCAGGCCAUCAGUGGGGGCGAUGGCAGCAGACGGUGACAGAAGGCUUGUCAGAGGAGCCCGAUAUGGGGGAGUCAGCUCUAACCAUGUUGCUAACUUGGGCCACUAAUGCCCUUCUCCAUCCCAGGGAAACAUCCAGGGACAUCCCAUAAUGUGAGCAGCACCGGAGAACAAACCUCACCCCGGAGACUGGAGCUUCAGCUCGGCAACACCCCACCCGAAAUACCCCAUGAGGUGGAUAAAGCUCUGGGCUGUCCGCACCUUUCUGCUGAAUGUUGAUGCUGGACUCCAAGAAGCACUCGGAGAAGACUACAGAUCCCAGGUCCCCUCUGCCCCGCUGGAGGUCUGGGAUGUCCGCUACAGUCAUGGAGGCCUGCAGGGUACCGACAAGGGACAGGAGGAGAACCCAGCAUGCUUCCUCUAUCCUCUACUGAGCUGCACCCUUGAGAAGCAGUACCUUGGAUGAGCUGGACGAACACGAGAAGCACUUGAUGCCUGCCAGGACGGCCUGCACGACGGCAG